Molecule: long non-coding RNA, 1933 nt
Organism: Drosophila mojavensis
Lineage: Eukaryota; Metazoa; Arthropoda; Insecta; Diptera; Drosophilidae
Exons: 2
Source: RefSeq, a predicted model, not a curated record
CAACAGGGCCGCACAACGGGGGCAAGUGGGGCAGCUCUUGGAGGGGGCAGACGAGGGAGGCACACGUCGCUGGAGUGCAUAUCCUGCGGAUAGUUUCAAACAAACUUCCAAGAAUAUUUCUUGAGCAAUUUAAUCGUGAAUUGGAUGUCUGAACUGCUGCUGUUACUACUUGAAUAUAUUGUACGAGUAAUAUUUAUGAAUGGAAGCAUAUCAGAUCUUCGAAUACAGAGAAAAAAGAGAAAUUGAGUCAAAAUCAUCAUCAUUAAUUCAAUUUUAUGGUAUUUAAUCGAGAUCUAUUCACAGGAGGUGUAAAGUAUAAAUCUUGAAAGUUUGAACUGAACAUAGUUGUUUGAUCAAAGGCAACAAAGAGUUCUAUACUUCUUCAGAGUUACAUUUAGAUAUUGGUUACAUAAUUCCUUAGUCAAAUCUAGAACCAAAAAAAGCUCAUAUAUGUUUUCCGAUUCGACUAUUAUUGGAAUGAUGGAUCCCGCAAAGUCAUCGUAAAAUUUAUAGAGAACAACUUGUUUCUCCCCAAACUGAAUGGAUAUCCCAUUUUUAUUUGGGAGAAUCUUUUCUCAUCAAAAGUUGGAAGUACUUCGCGAUUCGAAUUCCUUUUCGAUAAAAGUUGUUAUCGCAUGUUUGUCGAGGCUCAAAAACUCUUUCCCAGUCAACAUAUAGCCUUACGCUGCUAUCUGAAUUCCCGAAUAGAGCUAAUCCCAUGAUUCAUGAUAUUCAAUCGAUGCCAUGACUGAAAAUUAUUACAGACCAACAACAGAGCAAAAAAAAAAAAAAAAAAAAAAUUGGAAAAAGUAAAGCCGCUAAAUCAAUAAAAGUUUCGAUGGCUUAAUACGAACCGGAAAGCGCCCUUGCGCGGCUCUCAAUGCCAGUUGGCGACAGUCGCUAAGUCGCUAAGCUCUACAAAAUAUGCCGACAUUCCUUUUCUUUCUUCUGCCUUCUGCCUUUUUUUUUGGUACUUUUUUGGGAACUAUUUUGUUUGUUCUGUGUUGCAUUGGCUGGUUGAAGGCAUUUUUAUUGACUUACUUUCGAGUGGGAAACGCAAAACUUUUGCGCCCAACUAUUCGCAACUUUUUUCGCACUGUUCAAAGUGCUUAUAAUAUAUAUACAUGUAUAUACAUAUAUAUGAAAAUAUAUAUGUGUACAUACAUAUAUUUGGCGAUUACAAAUGAGAUUUAUUCGCCAUUUCCGGCUGCAUUAGAGGAAGUGCAUUGCCAACUCGAGUGUGCGGCCAUAAAAAUGCCAAACGGCGCGUGGUUCGAAUCGCGCACCACAAAACCUUUUGCUCACUAGCUGUGACACACACACACACACACAAACAGAAUCACACACACAUAUUCUCAUACAUAUAUUGCCUGCAUUUUUGUCGCAUUAACCAACUAUUUUCUUUGCUCUUUUCGUUUGGCCUGGACGAAGUUGUCAACGCAAAUGGCGCGCCGCAGGACCACGCCUAAUGCACUUUUGAUAGGCGCCCCGGAGACCGCCGAGGAGUGGACCACAGAGAGGCAGAGAGAGGGAUGGAGAGAGGAGACAUCAGCAGUUAGCUGAAUGUCCAAAACAGCAGCCAUUGAUAAAUUAUCAUGCAGAGGAGAUUUUUCGAGCCGUCAUCAGGUGCAGCUGCUUGAUAAAAAAAAAAGAUAGAAGCACGAAAAAAAAGAAAUUUUAAUCUAUUUUAAAUGUGGUUUAUGGUACGGUGCGACCGGAUGAUGGUUCACAACGACCGUACAGUUUUUUCAACGGGUCGGUGGGACUUUCGUCCGUUUGUAACGCCAUUUGUCAACGAUUUAUCAGCAAAUCAGAUAUCAGCAAUCAAAGGUGUUUAUUUAUGGCUUCAACUGUUGUUCAUAAUUAAUUAGUUAUUAAUAUGCGUUCAAACAGUGCGGUGUUUAAUUUAAUAAAGCUCUCUAAUUUACUUAUA